RNAcentral lists this ribosomal RNA (560 nucleotides) under Streptosporangium sp. 319E01. RNAcentral's name for it is "bacterial SSU rRNA". It matches the Rfam family "Bacterial small subunit ribosomal RNA", at positions 93 to 671 of the family's 1533-position model. The record is from RNAcentral. RNAcentral also lists the same sequence under 2 other names. Lineage: Bacteria; Bacillati; Actinomycetota; Actinomycetes; Streptosporangiales; Streptosporangiaceae.
GAGCGGCGAACGGGUGAGUAACACGUGAGUAACCUGCCCCUGACUCUGGGAUAAGCCCGGGAAACUGGGUCUAAUACCGGAUACGACACCUCCUGGCAUCGGGUGGGUGUGGAAAGUUUUUCGGUUGGGGAUGGACUCGCGGCCUAUCAGCUUGUUGGUGGGGUAAUGGCCUACCAAGGCGACGACGGGUAGCCGGCCUGAGAGGGCGACCGGCCACACUGGGACUGAGACACGGCCCAGACUCCUACGGGAGGCAGCAGUGGGGAAUAUUGCGCAAUGGGCGAAAGCCUGACGCAGCGACGCCGCGUGGGGGAUGACGGCCUUCGGGUUGUAAACCUCUUUCAGCAGGGACGAAGUUGACGUGUACCUGCAGAAGAAGCGCCGGCUAACUACGUGCCAGCAGCCGCGGUAAUACGUAGGGCGCAAGCGUUGUCCGGAAUUAUUGGGCGUAAAGAGCUCGUAGGUGGCUUGUCACGUCGGGUGUGAAAGCUUGGGGCUUAACUCCAGGUCUGCAUUCGAUACGGGCUGGCUAGAGGUAGGUAGGGGAGAACGGAAUUCCU